Long non-coding RNA from Haemorhous mexicanus (house finch), 8915 nucleotides. RefSeq lists it as uncharacterized. The record is from RefSeq and is a predicted model, not a curated record. NCBI's taxonomy places the organism in Eukaryota, Metazoa, Chordata, Aves, Passeriformes, Fringillidae. The transcript has 5 exons.
CACACUGGCUGUCCAGGGUCCCUGGAUGCUGCUCAAGGCUUGGCUGUGCCUUCAUUAGCUCCUCACUCCUGGCAAGAGCCUCUCUCUGCUGCCAGUCAGGAACUUUCUCUCAGCCAGUGGCCCUUAACCACCUCCUUGAACCCAGACCAGAUCUGUUGCUUUGGUUCCCUGUACUGGUGUAAUUCAGUAAAUAGUGAAGCAUGAUGCCGGUCAAGCUUUCAAGCAGAUAUACCUGUUCCUAAACUGAUGCCUACUUUCCCCACUACAAAUACUGUGGCUUUUACAUUUUAGUCAAAUUAUUCUGUUGGUGUACGGAGCACUACAACUAUAUUUUACAAAACCCUUAACUCAUUAUAAAAUAUGGAGAAGAGCCUCAGAAAACGGUGGUGACUGUUGUAGUUAUCAAUAAGAAAAUUCAAGAAAUUGGAAGAAAAACAGAUUAGAACUUGAAAAAGGGUCAGGUGGAAGAUGCUACACCUACACAGAUGUGUUCAAGUCAACAAAAAGAGAACAGGCAAUGGCUGUUCAAAAAUAAUUUUGAGUACAUGGAGGCAGGGAAUCUACAAAAGCCAGGCUGCACUUGACUAAAGAUUAUGCAGCCACAACCAAAAAAUGAGAGACUGACAUCACCCUUGGAUGUGUGAAGCAGAGCACAGCCUGACAGACAGAUGAAAUAUCUGUUCUCAGUGUUUGUAAGACUUUAGCUGAAAUACUGAGCCUAUGGAACUGAUAACCCCAGUUCAAUGAAUAUGGCAUCUGGAAGUGACGGAGGAGAGCAAGAAGAGGCAGAAAUCUCCAAAAGACUGCAAGAACUAGAGAUUGUUAGCUUGAAAAAAAAGUUCAAACAAAUGUGCACUACACUUGCAGUUGCAAAAAGGAUAGGUAUUGUCCUUUAUCAGUGACACAUCCAUCUGGGAGGAGCACAACUCCCAGGUGAUGAUCAAGUCUGCCAGAACUCUGAGAUACAGCAAUAUAUUUCAGGGAAGGGAACCGGUGACUUAAUUAUCCAGUGCCAAUGGACAUUAAAAAGAGGAGGUUUGCACUGCUGAGAUGGAGCAGGAAAAGGCUCAGUUCCUGCUCAGUAGCAGGAGCAGAGAUAGCAGAGGAGCACUGAGCAGGGAUGACAGCAUGGUGACAGAGUCUCUGUUGUACACCAGGCUCUGAAAGCAAAUCCCUUUAGGAGAUGUCACCAAGGGCAUCUGAUGUCACUGUCAUGACAGGAAAGAAUAUUCCCUGUAGAAACUUCCACUCUCCAUACAAAUAAUGCAGAAAGACUGCCUAGUGAGACAACCAUGGUCAUGAAAUGUGAAGUAUUUUACUAGAAACUUAUCAACAUUUUAUGAAAUUACUCUCAUAAUUAAAGGACUACAUUCAAAGUGGUUUAACACACAAUUUUAAGUAUGCUUUGUUAAGAUGUUACUGCAAAGACUUUUUUUUUUAACAUUUAAACAAAUUGUCAGUGGACUGGAAAGAAAGAGGGAAGGUAACUUGACAAAAACCUGCUGACCAAAACUAGAGAAGUCUGUUCUACCUUUCGAAGCUCAUGAGACAAAUUUUGACUGCAGCUUCUGCUAAAGCAUGAAAUGAAUCCUAGGAAACUACCAAGCACAAAAUUAGUUUCUGGCUGUGUGCAAAGGAAAAAAAUAUUUCCAUGACAAAAUGGAGUGUCCAAACAGAUCACUGAGAAAGGCUGGGGAAUGUGUGGUUUUGAGGGCUUUUGAGACCCAUCUGGGCAAACCUUCUACAACAGGGUCUGCUUUCAUAUUUUGCCAUUCUCUGUGAUGGAGGUCAGGCCAAAGAUCUCCUGGGAUCCCUCCCUACAUUUAUGACUGUAUGCUGAUCCUAUGGAUUCACCUUUCCCUGAAGUUACCAGCCUUGGAGGUGGCUUUUCUUCUAACUGGAAAAGAAAUUCAUUUGCAAGGGAAUGCUUGAUGGGUCAGUGGGUACCACGAGGGCCCUGUGUGGGGUGAGCAUUUCAGGAAUGGCCAUCCCUGCACACAGGUGUGUCCAGGCACUGGCACUCCUGUGGACACAGGGCAGGCACCAGAGGCUGCCUCCAAGCUCAGGGCUCUCCAAGGCUGCAGCGUCCACUGCGUGGAUAGACUUCAGGGGAAGAUUAAAAGAAAUACUUGUGUGUUGCUUGGCUCAGAACACCCAGGAAGGAGAGGACCUAUCCUGAAUUGCCUGUGGGAAUUUAUGACUAGGAGCAAUGGGGGUAAAGUCAGGCUUCUCAUGCAGCCCUUGCAAACUCAUGCACCACCCCCUGGUAGAGUGUUGGUCCCAGGGUGACAGUGAGGGCUGAGGACCAUGCUGGGCUGGGUAGAAUCCACAGAGCAGGAGGACAGCCCUCACCUCAUCCUGGAGAUCCUGCAGGAUGAGUAUUUGAAGAUACAAGGGGAAAAGAAACAAAGAGGAUGCAGACUUGGUACAAGAUCUCACAGAGGAGGAUCUUUUGUGAUGUUCUGUUACAAGGGAAACAAGAAAAGCUGCACAGACACGAGAGCAUGGGAGCAGACAAGAGCAUCUCUGCAGAAAGGACCAGCUCAUGGAGCACUGAGGGCAUAUCAAAGGGGGAAGUCACUAGAGGGCAUCAUCACCUACCCAAUCCUGCCUGCAGACCAGGUCAGCUCUGUCAUACUCUACCCUACCCAGAGAAGCUGCACUGCUCUCUGUAGGAGUGCCUUCUGCAGAGCUCUGAAAACUCAGAUUCCAGCUGUUCCCACAGCCCUGGCAGAGGAGGUCCUGCAGGGGCACAGUGAAAAUGGCCUACUUUGGGUUACAGCAGAGAGGAGAAUUCUUUUAAAUGGCACUACUAAACAGACCUUCAACAUCCUUCACUUCUUUGUGGGAUUAUUUGUUAAAGUACUCCCAUUCCAACUUUUCCAAACUGCCCUGACUGUUUGGAAAGACAAAGUGCUGAAUAGAACAUGAGAAGAUGAGUAGCUCUGUAAGAGCAGGGCAGGAAUCACCUCCCACAGAUUCACCAUGGAUGGGUCUACUGUGCAGCACUCCUAACACAACCCAGCUCCCAUUUUUCCACAAGGGCUCUUACAGUGAACGUGAGAGUUGAAAGAUCUGGGUGCUGCAUGAACUAAAGACAUAGGGGAGAAGGUCCAUCGGCCCCAUUCUUUAUUUAUCCUUUUCUUAUUACACAUCCAAACUCACACCAGGGUGAAACCCAGGCACAGGCUACCCUCUGCUUAUCACCCCCAUGUCCCAGUGCCACAGCUCGGGCACGGCGUGGGUGUGACAGGGCCAUAGGACUCGUGUUCCCCUGUCUGUGCACAGGGAUGGCACAGGGAGCACCUGCUGCUCAGCUGAAUGCAGGGCAAAAGAGAUUUUGCCAGUGUGAAGCCUCACUGCUGGCAUUUUCCAAAUUAAUCUCUUCUGUGGGUGGAAAGCUGCAGUAUCUUGAGAGAGGUCUUCAUCCAUCAAAGGACUUGGAAGGAAGAUCCCUUUUUUCAGGAAAUUAUGGAGUUCAGAGAGACUGUGGACUAGUGACACAUUGGGUUAUGGCAUGCAAAAUACACCUGUCUCACCAGGGUCUUCCAAGAGCAGCUUUGGACCACCUCCAGAGCCUGGAGCAGGGCAAAAAGCACCUGAAUUUCCAGAGUCGGAAACACCUGUUCUACAAGAAACAGAUCCAUAGGUCAUUAAGAGUUUGUUUCAUUUUGAUUUUCACCUGGGAUUUUCCCUUCAAAGGGUGGGUACAUGGAGCUGUUCUAUCCAUGCUAGCUCCCAAGUGCAUACUUCAGUUUGGAGGGAAUAAAUAAGCAGCAGGUGGAUAAAACCCCUGCCCUGCACUCUGAGCCACGGUGUACCUGGCACAAUGUGCAAGAGAGCACCUUUGUCAUCUUGUUUACCAAAACAGAUCAAGUGUUAGAAGUACAAGAGGAACCGGAGGGGACAUUGAUGUCUAUCGCUGAAAUUGUGGAGGAGCAGAACUGUAAAAGUCAAGGAAGGUAAGCAGGUAAAUAGGGAUGAAAAGAAGAAUGGGAAAACAUUGGAACCACAUCCCAAUUAAAGAGGUAAAACAUUCAGACUGAGGCACAAAUGAUCUCAUCAGCUUCAUUGUCCAAGGCUUGGAAAAGACAGCACAUUUGUGUUAGAAAGAUCAAUAAACUGCACUCAAGUGGGGUCACAGUUGUGGGUAUCAGAAACAUCAAAUAUGGUUAAAUACCUCUGUGAACACUUCAUGUAACUUUCUGGAAGGAGAGUUAUCAAUGUAUUCAUGGAACAUCAUGAAAAAAAAUCACACUAGAGCAAACAAUUACUGUUUUUUCUAUAUGUACUGAGAGGUGGACUGCAAAGAGUGGCUCCUACCUUCCCGUGUACAGACAAUGGGAGGACACUUGGUGAGUAUUAUUCACUCAAGCAGAGGCACAGACUCAGUCAUUCUAACAGAAACCCACCCAUUCCCAGACCUAGAGUGCUUACUCACAAGCCAGCGUGUAGAUAUGCAAAUCACAGCGUAUUGUUAUCAGCAGUUUGUCCAAUAAUAUUUCCUUUGUUUCAUCAAAAAGGCGUAUCAGUUUUGUGCAGUUGGCAGUGAAUAUGCAAAGAGGAAUUUGAAAAAGCAGGACCAGCCAGAACAGCAGCCUCUGCCAGCCUGAUUGCAGGCAUGGCUGAUGUCAGACCAUGCAUCAGAAGGUUAGGGUGCUAAUGACUUGUUGAUGUGUUUGACAUUAUGCAGCUAUCUCUGAGCAGGUAUUUUCACAGUAAGUGUUGUUUUUAUACAUGUUUCCCUAUUACUCAUGAGCUGGAAGUUUCAAGGGAAAAUUUUGAAAACAAGAUAAAAGCUCAAGGGGACUGGGAAGAAGAGAAAGAGAAAGCUUGUCUGAACACUCACAUUACUUAGUCCAAAACACAGAAACGUGAAAUACCAUGUAAUUGGUCACAAUCCUGUUAAAAAAAUCAGAAAUACAGGACACUUAACCUCAUCUUCUCAGCUACAGUAGUAGAAUCAUUGAAUGGUUUUGGUCCUUUAAAUGUCAUUUAGUCCAAUCCCUUGCAAUGAACAGGGAAGAGUCAUUUGUUUAUAUUCGUGUACACAUAAUAAGUUGCAGUCCUUGAAAAGAAGUUAAAACAUAUUCAAAAAAGAGGAGAGAAUUUGAAGCAAUAGAUCUAACUAAAUUAUCAUCUUGAAAUAAUCCAGCUAGUUUAUCUUCUUUGGGGUUUUUUGUCAGUCUUUCCUUUGGAGAUUUGCAAGACAGUUUUUAGAGCCUAAUUAACUUUUUGCAUGAAGAUGAAGUCCUUUCAUUUUGGAGAAUUAAUCACGCUUAAUCUCUAGACACUAGCCAUUAUAACAAAUCUGUGUCCACUGUAACAGCAGGAUUAUGAAAAAAUAAAUGGAAAGUGACAUUCACAUUAGCCUGACAGUGUUUCUGGCAGUCACCAACUGGCUUUUCUAGUCACUAUGACUUUAACCCAUCAUCACUUUUUCAUUACAAACACCCGAGCAAUGGAGUAGGUUAGGCUGCCAAGCGGCCUUUUCAGGCAUUUAUUAUGUCAGUAAUGUUUAUGUUUGAAAUUAUCAAGCCCCUUCUGAGUGAAUUGGUGCCUUAAACACAGGGUGUCAUGCUGCCAGCUAGAGACCAGCUGUGUGGGGUGGUUUUAGAGUCAAUGUGCUUUGGGCACAGAGGAGUGCAGAGUCGAUUGCAAACAGAGGAAUCACAAGCUCAUUUUGGGCUGAAUAUCCAAAGAACUUUAUUACAGGACUGAAGGUGCUGGGAAAAGUGUUCUCACUAGGGACUUUGCAUUGAAAAAAGUAUGUGUAUCUGUAUGAGAAGGCAACUGAGCAAGAAUACCAAUGCAGUGAAAUAUGUCUAAGAAAGGGGGGGGCAGAGGGUGAAAGGAGGAAGGUGGAGGGGGGAAGAACAAGCUCUCUGUAGAUAAAAGGAUUAGGAACCACAGAAAAUAUUCCCAUAACCAUGCCAAAGAAAAAGAGAUACAUUGUUGGAGUUUGCACUUCAGCCAGAAGUGCAAUCAGUGCUUUGCAGAAUUCAUGCAGAAAUAUGGCUGCCUAGGAGAGUAUGUGUUCUGAGGUGAUUCAUAUCAGCUAAAUAAAGGUAAUUAAAGAUAUAAAGGACUGAAGCAGUAAAAACAGGACUGAGCUAUUUAACCAAGUGUGACAGCUUUGCAUGACUGAUUAUUCAUGAACUACUCCUAGGUAGUUAAGAAACAUAAAAUGUGAUUCAUUAUCUCUAGAAAGAAAACAAGUUAUUAAGAAAUCCAACUUCAUGGUGUUCCUAAAACUAGUAUAAAUAUUUGAAUUUCUGUCUAUAAAGUUUCUGAAAAACAUGAAUCACCCAUUCAUCCACUCACACAAGGCACAUAUGUAGACAUACAUCUAUUUCUUAGAUGGCAGUUAGGAGGUAGGCAUGAAUAUAUGCAAUGCAAAUGCAUUUCCCAAAAGCCUUAUGCAAUUAGUUAUUAUUUCUACCUAGUUCUUACCAUCUAUUUUUAUGGAGAUCAACUCUAUCAACUGAGGAAUGCUAAAUCAGCAGGCCUUUAUAAAAGAGAAAUGAUCCACCAUAAUAUCCUCUGAUCAGGCUGAAAGCUCUACUCUUCCCAGGUUUGUAAUUGUGCAGCACACUAAAUUAUGAUCAUAAAGUGCAUUAAAAACUCUUCAUUAACUCUUCACAUGCAGUAAUUGCAGCUCAUUUACUUCAUUAGUUAGCUGCUAAUACUGAGAGCACUGGAAGCACAUGUAUGUGAGGGGGUUAAUGUGAGAGCCACUACAACACUAUGAAUUACCAGCUCAUUGGACAGCACCUAGAAAAUCCCUAAUUAAAGCUCACAAGCUCAUAAUGAACCAAACAUAUAUAAUUCUAUGGAAUGAUCUGUUAACAAAAAAAAAGCUUACACUGAUUCUUGUUUAUUCUUCUGGGCAUCACAGCAGGAUAAGAGAUAACUGCUCAUUUGCAUGUCAUUUAGGCUUUUUGGGUUUUUUUAAUUUCCUCUGCACUUUCUUCUGUUAAGCAUGACUAUUUCUCUUGAUUUGCUGGGAUUUUUUUUAACUGAUGAGGUACAGUAUAUAAAUAUAUAUUAUAAGGAGUCAUCCAUUUAUAAGCAUGUUUUAUUAUUAAAUUAAACAUAAAGCAAACACUAGGAAAUUGCUAACAAAGGUAUUUGCCAUAAAACAAUGUUGCUUGACUAUUGAGGGCUGUAACUGGAUAUUGCUACAGUUGCCAGUGCAUUUGCAGUGGAACUAUUUGAGUUUUAAAUGGAAGGGAUUUUCCUGCAAUGUCCAGCUGAAUCAAACAGUAAAUUUCACAGGCUAGCUGAAAACAGUUUUUCUUUAAGGGUAAAAUAAUGGCACAGCUUCUCCAUGUCCACUUUUGGAAUUACUGCAUUUUAAUUAGGUUUUCCUUCAUCCUAUGCUACCCGUGUUGAAGAAAAAUAAGAUAUUUUAUACAAGCACCAAAAAAAACACAAAGAAAAGUAUCUUGGUUUGAGACCACUAAGCCACCAAAAAACCCUCCAACCAUACCUCUAAACCCCCAUCACAUUGAUUUUUACAGUAUUUUGUGUCAGUAUUUCAUUAAUAAUUUAUAGCAAUAUUUCUAAUAUUGCUAGGUUUGUUCAUUGUAUUUUGAUUACAAUCACAACCUGGAAACUUACAAGUUUCCAGGAACAAAACAAAGGUUAUAUUAAAAAUAUACUUUAUGGCGUAUGAAUAUGGAAAUUACUUUUAAAAAUGGAGUGGCCCUUUACAAGAUUACUGCUAUAUCUGAUUCCACUGCCCCUUACUCACUUUUCUUUGCCACCAAUUAAUACUUGCAGCUAAAAGAAAGGAACAGAUUUUGCAAGGAACCUCCAGUGUGAUGUUUAGCUUUCUCUCCUUUCACUGGCUAAAGUUUUGUUUCUCUUACUAUAGCAUGAGGACAAAGAGUCAUCAUAACGGCAUAUAUUCUCAUUUUCCUCAUGGAAAUUUUGUGGAAUUUAAUGUCUAACCUUUCUGUAAAAACUUUAAAACCCUUAUGCAGCUCUGCUACAGCAAUAUCCCUCUUUAUGGAUCAUUAGGGUAAAUUAAACAUGCUAUGAAAAAUAAAAUUAUGUAUGACUUGAAAAUAUUUUUACUGGACUUUGCAGAUUUCCUCCCUUCAUCUCUUCAAGAUGACUUAUCCACAGAGAUUAAAUAGAGUUUUGAAUCUAUAUCCUUGAAUGUAGUAACAGCUGUAACACAGUGUAAAUAAAAUAAAGGCAGAUCUACUUCCAGAAAAACACGUGUAGUUAUGCAAAACAUAAAUUAAUGUUAUGCUGAUAGGAUUAGAUGUGGAAGAUACUUGUGGAGGUUGUCUAGGCUGCCUCUCUUUUUGUGAAGGUUUGGAACAUCUAGAGAAAAAUGUAGCCAAUACCAAGGACAGCAGCUGUGGUUUCAUGUGGUGCCUGUCACUGGACAACAGAACAUCCUGUUUUCUGAGCACCUGCUCUGCAUCAUCCUCCAGACCUGCUUUGUUCCAAGAGAUCUUGGCAGUACUGGAACAAUUAGCCUCAGUGUUCUUACACUGCAACAUCGCCAGCCCAGGAGAGGAAGAUACACGAUGCAAAUGAUGACCCGAGGACUCGGGAAUUUAACAUGCAAAAAGACCACAUGCAAACUUCAGUGGGAGAGAUCUCUGUAAUAUGGAUGAGUGCUGGGUUCAGGGCCAGAUGGAGUGAUCUUACUGGAACAAGUCAUUGCAUAAGUGUGGAACAUCCUUCUCUGAACUUCUGGAUUCAGACAGCCUGGCUCUAAACAUGCAACACUGACCCCAAAAUUACUGUGUGGAUAGUCACAAAUACUCUGGAAGAAAGCCAGUGGUUUGACUUUUAGCUGGAGUCAAGGCAUUUAAGCCAUAUGAUAUAAAUGUUUUCAUUGCAUGAUAAAAAUUAUUUGUGGCAUCUAAUAAACUCAUUAUCUAGUUCAUGUA